This 468-nucleotide ribosomal RNA is filed under the name uncultured bacterium. RNAcentral describes it as "partial 16S ribosomal RNA". It matches the Rfam family "Bacterial small subunit ribosomal RNA", at positions 28 to 507 of the family's 1533-position model. The record is from RNAcentral.
GACGAACGCUGGCGGCGUGCUUAACACAUGCAAGUCGAACGGAAAGGCCCUGCUUUUGCGGGGUGCUCGAGUGGCGAACGGGUGAGUAACACGUGAGUAACCUGCCCUUGACGUUGGGACAACUUCAGGAAACUGGGGCUAAUACAGGAUAGGAGCUCCUGCUGCAUGGUGGGGGUCGGAAAGUUUCGGCGGUUGGGGAUGGACGCCCGGUUUAUCAGCUCGUUGGUGGGGUAGUGGCUUACCAAGGCUUUGACGGCUAGCCGGCCUGAGAGGGUGACCGGCCACCUGGGUACUGAGAUAGGGCCCAGACUCCUACGGGAGGCAGCAGUGGGGAAUCUUGAACAAUCAGCGGGCGCCUGAUGCAGCAACGCCGCGUGCGGGAUGACGGCCUUCGGGUUGUAAACCGCUUUCGGCUGUGACGAAGCGUGAGUGACGGUAAUGAGUGAAGAAGCACCGGCUAACUACGUG